This 360-nucleotide non-coding RNA is filed under the name Photobacterium gaetbulicola Gung47. The record is from RNAcentral. Lineage: Bacteria; Pseudomonadati; Pseudomonadota; Gammaproteobacteria; Vibrionales; Vibrionaceae.
UAAGCCAAGGAUUUGGUUUGUCUCAGGAAGAGACCGGUGUACCAGGAGGGUAUGUCGAACAGGGACUGUGAAGGGAUAGCCGAGGAACGGCAAAACGGUAACCAGGAUGCUUACCGGUCAGGAUGACAAUGGACCACUUCAGGACGAAGUCAGGGACACCUCCAGGAUGGAUGUUGAGAGUCAGGAUAGGAUAUGCUGACGGGUCAGGACGGCCACAGGACAACUUCAGGACGAAGAAUAAAAGGAAUCUGCUGACGGAUUACAGCAAUUCAAUGGAAUGAUGCAGGGAGCACCACAGUAGCGGGAUUGCUGCAAGUAAGACCUAAGGGCGCAACGAAAGUUGCGCCCGUUCUUUUUUUU